GUGUCAGCAGCCGCGGUAAUACGUAGGGGGCAAGCGUUGUCCGGAUUCACUGGGCGUAAAGGGCGCGUAGGCGGUUACGAAAGUCAGGCGUGAAAGUUCACGGCUCAACUGUGGCAGUGCGUCUGAUACUUCGUUGACUUGAGGUCGGUAGAGGUAGAUGGAACAAGCGGUGUAGCGGUGAAAUGCACAGAUAUCGCUUGGAACGCCGGUGGCGAAGGCGAUCUACUGGGCCGUACCUGACGCUGAUGCGCGAAAGCUAGGGGAGCGAACCGGAUUAGAUACCCCCGUAGUCC
This 293-nucleotide ribosomal RNA is filed under the name uncultured bacterium. RNAcentral describes it as "partial 16S ribosomal RNA". It matches the Rfam family "Bacterial small subunit ribosomal RNA", at positions 505 to 796 of the family's 1533-position model. The record is from RNAcentral.